AGUGAACGCUGGCGGUAGGCCUAACACAUGCAAGUCGAACGGCAGCACAGUAAGAGCUUGCUCUUACGGGUGGCGAGUGGCGGACGGGUGAGGAAUGCAUCGGAAUCUACUUUUUCGUGGGGGAUAACGUAGGGAAACUUACGCUAAUACCGCAUACGACCUACGGGUGAAAGCAGGGGAUCUUCGGACCUUGCGCGAUUGAAUGAGCCGAUGUCGGAUUAGCUAGUUGGCGGGGUAAAGGCCCACCAAGGCGACGAUCCGUAGCUGGUCUGAGAGGAUGAUCAGCCACACUGGAACUGGGACACGGUCCAGACUCCUACGGGAGGCAGCAGUGGGGAAUAUUUGACAAUGGGCGCAAGCCUGAUCCAGCCAUACCGCGUGGGUGAAGAAGGCCUUCGGGUUGUAAAGCCCUUUUGUUGGGAAAGAAAAGCAGCAGGUUAAUACCCCGCUGUUCUGACGGUACCCAAAGAAUAAGCACCGGCUAACUUCGUG
Molecule: ribosomal RNA, 492 nt
Filed under: uncultured bacterium
Lineage: Bacteria
Description: partial 16S ribosomal RNA
Rfam family: Bacterial small subunit ribosomal RNA
Source: RNAcentral